UUUACUUUUGAUAUGAUUCCAAAGGGAUAGGGUUCUUAGAGAGGAAGAGUAAGAGAUGGAAAAUCUUCUCUUGCAAAAUCAGAUGAGUCACUUUAGAAGACAAAGAAUUCGAUUCCUUUCCUUCUUUUGUUGGCCAUAGAACCAUAAUAUCCGCCCCCACUUGUGAUAUUCCCCUUCAAAAAGUUAUCGGAGAACAAAAUUCAUGAUCAUUGAUCAAACCGACCAAACAAAACUUCAAAUCGAAUCGCAGACAGACGAUGCUGAAGGAACGAUUCCGCUAGGUUUCAGUUUCAGCUUCAGCUUCAUCCUCAUAUGAUCUUCAACAGCAAGAAGAAAAAAUGUAUCCAAAAAUCUUUCUCAAUACGAGUUAACAGAAACCAGAUUGUGCAGUAUCGACGAAGCAAUCGCGACGCAAACGCUCCGCACAGAGACGGCCGGAAUGAAGGCUUUGGAAUGGCGGUAAGCGCGUCGGCGGUUAUGUCUUCUUUGUCUUCUCGUGGAAUCGCGAUGGGAUCUGAAGCGUCGGAUGGCGAUUAGGUUCGUGCGUUCAACCGCAUCGGAAUUGCUAUUGUUGGCUUUUUCGCUGUGAGACAGAGGAAGAUGCGUCUCCGACGAAGAGGCGCCUCUGGAGGCUGUUUCUUGGGGGAGAUUAUAGGGGCCGGUCUGUGCGUGAGCGUGAGCGAAGAUGGAGUGGGGCUGACGCUGAGAGGCGAGGAGAAGGGGCGCCAUUAACAGCAGAAAUUGGAGAGGUUUAAGCGAGGCCAUGGCGAUGUCUAUGGCUAUGGCUAUGGCGAUAAAUGUGAUUUUAUUGCAGAGGAGGGAUGGAGAUCCUCUGCGCGGAAGGGAUGGAAUUGGCGAUCCCCAUUGUUGAAGGAGAUUGGGGAAGGAGCUAAGAUUAGGAGACGCAAAGGCGAUGCAGAAACAGAGCAGAGACCCAAAAUGAAAGGGCGGUGCCCGGCUGGACGGCGAUCCACUGGCACGACCAGCAAUUACGGCGGAUCGAACCCCCCUUUUGAUACUGAUCUUCUCGGCCAAAUUGGAGCCGACGCUAUUAUCUUCCCGCCGACGCCCCGAUGGGUGGAGCAGAUUCCGGCGGAGUAUUCCGGUGAAGGAAUUCGAAUCCGGGCCGUAGUCAGCGGACGAAACAGCGAGGGAUUCAGAAAACAAGAGAAGAGCAAUUAGGGCUAUCGAAACGAAGGGUUUAACUGCAGCCAUCUGUGUAGGGCUAGGGCAAAUCCAAUUCGAUCUUCUGUUGAUGAGCGAACGGAAUCAGACUAUCAGAGUAUGGAGAUGAAGUGUGUAAUCGCAUAGAUUUAUAUAAAUUUAAGACUCUUUGUGAAGAUGAAUUUCAAUUUCGGAGCGUUUGACCA
This is a long non-coding RNA of Momordica charantia (bitter melon), 1370 nucleotides long. RefSeq lists it as uncharacterized. The record is from RefSeq and is a predicted model, not a curated record. Lineage: Eukaryota; Viridiplantae; Streptophyta; Magnoliopsida; Cucurbitales; Cucurbitaceae.